This 204-nucleotide long non-coding RNA is filed under the name Gossypium barbadense (sea-island cotton). RNAcentral's name for it is "long non-coding RNA (GBAR_LNC017298)". Lineage: Eukaryota; Viridiplantae; Streptophyta; Magnoliopsida; Malvales; Malvaceae. The record is from RNAcentral.
GAUAAGCUGUGAUGGUAGGUUAAAAAGCCACCAAAGCGGGACGACUGGAUGAUAAUUUUUUGUAGUAAAAAGCCAUCAAAAUUGGGCAACCGAGAUGGAAGUUAUUGUAGUUAAAGUCACUAUCACAGGUGACAAGUGAACGACCAUCAUCACCAGAAAAACAAAUCCAGGAUGGCCAAUUUUUUCUGUGAUUUUUGUGAGUCG